RNAcentral lists this ribosomal RNA (433 nucleotides) under uncultured bacterium. RNAcentral's name for it is "partial 16S ribosomal RNA". It matches the Rfam family "Bacterial small subunit ribosomal RNA", at positions 29 to 507 of the family's 1533-position model. The record is from RNAcentral.
AACGAACGCUGGCGGCAUGCCUAACACAUGCAAGUCGAACGAGACCUUCGGGUCUAGUGGCGCACGGGUGCGUAACGCGUGGGAACCUGCCCUUAGGUUCGGAAUAACUCCCCGAAAGGGGUGCUAAUACCGGAUAAUGUCUUCGGACCAAAGAUUUAUCGCCUUUGGAUGGGCCCGCGUUGGAUUAGCUAGUUGGUAGGGUAAAAGCCUACCAAGGCGACGAUCCAUAGCUGGUCUGAGAGGAUGAUCAGCCACACUGGGACUGAGACACGGCCCAGACUCCUACGGGAGGCAGCAGUGGGGAAUAUUGGACAAUGGGCGAAAGCCUGAUCCGGCAAUGCCGCGUGAGCGAUGAAGGCCUUAGGGUUGUAAAGCUCCUUUACCCGGGAUGAUAAUGACAGUACCGGGAGAAUAAGCUCCGGCUAACUCCGUG